AGCGAACGCUGGCGGCAGGCCUAACACAUGCAAGUCGAACGAACCUUCCGGGGUUAGUUGCGGUUGGGGGAGGAACACGGGGGAAGGUGCCGGUAGGUACGGAAUAACUCAGGGAAACGUGGGCUAAUACCGAAAGUGCUCUUCGGGGGAAAGAUUUAUCGCCGUUAGAGCGGCACGCGUCCGUUUAGCUAGUUGGUUGAGGUAAGGGCGCACCAAGGCUAGGUUCAGUAGCUGGUAUGAGAGGAGGAUCACCGACAUUGGGACUGAGACACGGCCCAAACUCCUACGGAAGGCAGCAGUGGGGGAUCUAGCGCAAUGGGGUAAGGGCUGACGCAGCCCGGCCGGGUAAAUGAUGAAGUUCGUAGGAAAGUGAAAUUCUUUCACCGGGGACGAUAAUGACGGUACCCGGAGAAGAAGCCCCGGCUAACUUCGUG
RNAcentral lists this ribosomal RNA (434 nucleotides) under uncultured bacterium. RNAcentral describes it as "partial 16S ribosomal RNA". It matches the Rfam family "Bacterial small subunit ribosomal RNA", at positions 30 to 507 of the family's 1533-position model. The record is from RNAcentral.